Long non-coding RNA from Dendroctonus ponderosae (mountain pine beetle), 1546 nucleotides. RefSeq lists it as uncharacterized. NCBI's taxonomy places the organism in Eukaryota, Metazoa, Arthropoda, Insecta, Coleoptera, Curculionidae. The transcript has 3 exons. The record is from RefSeq and is a predicted model, not a curated record.
AGGGCGCUUCGCACUUGCUCAGCUUUGGAAACUUGGGGUGCAGCCCCCCUUUCCACCUUCAUCCCCUUGAGGAUGUCACUGAAACAGGGAUGGAAAUCAGAUGACGAUCAAAAGGUGAGGAGCAGGCCUGACACGUACCGACUGAUUGAGUGCUGGCUUCCUGCUUCUCCUGGCGGCCCUGCUCUCGUUUAUUCGAGGGCUGUGCCAGAUCGAUAGAGGUUUUGUUCGCUAUAUUGUUAGACAUCAUUUGAUCUAACAAGAAGUUGAGCUUUCGUACAGCGUCAGAGUUAGGUGCUUUUUUCUUCAAUUCGUCAUCACUAUCAGAGCUGCUGCUGCUGCUGUUUGAAGAAGGCUGGUUAGUGCUUUUCUGGCAAGUGAUUGAUUUGACGAUGCUGCCACAGUCCAGGAGCUUCUUGCUUGCAUUAGGUAAGUUUUUCCUGCAAAUGGCCUUCUUAGGUACAUAAGUAUGUUGCGUCACUCAGGGUACCUUAAGAUUAGCUUCGUUAAACUCAUUUCUGUAGUUCGCGGACGUUUUCUGCAGAACUUCGUUCUAUCCUCCCGGAAAUUUUGAGGUUAUAGCCAUAGAACAAGGCUUAUAUAGAAACGACUCUUCCUCUUGUAGAAAGUGUGUCGCUAAAGUGGCGCGCCCUGGUGGCUGAGAAUUAAAGAAUUCAAACAAACCUACAUUAUGAACCCACUACACUUGGUUAUUUUUAAUUGUGCCGCAAGGGGCAGCUGAUAAUAGGGAUAAAUGACACAAUUACACAAAAAUACAUAUAAAUAUAUUACUUGUUGUUUAUUGUUUAUAUAAAUACCUUUUACAGAUAAAAAAAUCUUUGGAGCAUUUUUAGGAACAACUUUAAAACAUACGCCUUUUGUGAUAGGAAGCCGUGCAUUUUCCAACAGCCUUCAAGACACCAAUAAAGAGCUACCAUCUUCGCAGAUUAUUGACGAUUUAUGAAAACAGAUAAGGAAAAAGAUAAUCUGAAAAUAUGAAAAUAUCAUUAUUCAUUUACGCAUAAUGUAGAUAGUGAAAUCGGUUUACCGCUGCAUGUGAAAAGCGAAUUGCUUCAUUCGAUUGGAGUAACCAGCAGGAACAAAAUGACCCCAACGAAACAACUUCUAUUUCACAAGCUAUGCAGCAUGAGGAGGACAUUGAAACGUUAUGAGCAUAAUAGGAAGAGUUGCAGGAGAGACGUAUUCGGGGUAAAGAAUGUAAGUAAUCUUUUAAGCAAUAAAACUUAGAAUUGUUUAGAAUAUGAUAGAAUACAUAUUUUCCUAUUGCAGCUACGUCAAAAAGCUUUAAUGGAAUUCUUAAACAUUUCAAUAAUUUGUUUCGUAGUUUUCGUAUUAUUAUUUUAUAGAAAGGCAGAUUUUGACAUCAAUAAUUUUGUUUAUUUGUUCCUUUUACAUGCUUUUGAAGUUUUUACUUUUACUUGUUUAUCAUUUAUACGUCUGUUUGUCCUGUUUCUGUUAUAUAUGUUGAUCGUUUAUAUGGUGUACUUUGUUCUUUCCUAUUUCUGUUAUUAUAAAUAUGUUUAUCAUU